This 497-nucleotide ribosomal RNA is filed under the name uncultured bacterium. RNAcentral describes it as "partial 16S ribosomal RNA". It matches the Rfam family "Bacterial small subunit ribosomal RNA", at positions 28 to 507 of the family's 1533-position model. The record is from RNAcentral.
GACGAACGCUGGCGGCGUGCCUAAUACAUGCAAGUAGAACGCUGAAGAGAGGAGCUUGCUCUUCUUGGAUGAGUUGCGAACGGGUGAGUAACGCGUAGGUAACCUGCCUUGUAGCGGGGGAUAACUAUUGGAAACGAUAGCUAAUACCGCAUAACAAUGGAUGACACAUGUCAUUUAUUUGAAAGGGGCAAUUGCUCCACUACAAGAUGGACCUGCGUUGUAUUAGCUAGUAGGUGAGGUAAUGGCUCACCUAGGCGACGAUACAUAGCCGACCUGAGAGGGUGAUCGGCCACACUGGGACUGAGACACGGCCCAGACUCCUACGGGAGGCAGCAGUAGGGAAUCUUCGGCAAUGGGGGCAACCCUGACCGAGCAACGCCGCGUGAGUGAAGAAGGUUUUCGGAUCGUAAAGCUCUGUUGUAAGUCAAGAACGGGUGUGAGAGUGAAAAGUUCACACUGUGACGGUAGCUUACCAGAAAGGGACGGCUAACUACGUG